UACGUAGGGUCCGAGCGUUGUCCGGAAUUAUUGGGCGUAAAGAGCGUGUAGGCGGCCAGGUAGGUCGGUUGUGAAAACUGGAGGCUCAACCUUCAGACGUCGACCGAAACCAUCUGGCUAGAGUCCGGGAGAGGAGAGUGGAAUUCCUGGUGUAGCGGUGAAAUGCGCAGAUAUCAGGAAGAACACCCGUGGCUAAGGCGGCUCUCUAGUACGGUACUGACGCUGAGACGCGAAAGCGUGGGGAGCGAACAGG
Molecule: ribosomal RNA, 253 nt
Filed under: uncultured bacterium
Lineage: Bacteria
Description: partial 16S ribosomal RNA
Rfam family: Bacterial small subunit ribosomal RNA
Source: RNAcentral